GCCAGGAGAAUAGUCCUGGACUGAGCUUCAGAAGAUCUCAGAUCACUGACGUUCUGUCUAGAAGAAUACUCCAAGAUAUAUUUCUAAGUAAUAUUCCUUCUCUUGUUGGGGGAAAUUAGAGAAGAUUUCUACCUGGUGCCAUAUCAACUCAAGGAUGGAGUCAAAUACUGAGAGGCUCUGUCAUCUGUCUUUGGAUCUCCUUCUUACCAGCUUAUGAUCUCCUGAUUGGAACUAACAUGACGCUUGAUAAAAUGAAGUACAUAACAUAACAACUGCAUUGAUUUAGAAAUACGAGGACUUGUUUUGGAUUCCAAGUCUAACUGCAGAUCUGGGGACAGCACACACUUUACACCUUGGAUUCUGGGAUACAUUUGAUUUCAAAUAUUGAUGGUGAAAAUUCUAACAAGGAGCAAACAGCAAAGAACUGAAAUGCUAUACAGACUCCAGUGAGAAAAAACUGAGGUAAUUGGUUUCGGUGUGCUGGUGCUUGAAACUCUAUCCCAGUGCUUCCUUCAACUAAGGCUGCAAAUUGAAAAUGUGAAGAACCUUGCCUGCUUGAACCAGCCUGGGCUUGUGGCAGCAUCAUUCUGUCACUUAAUUCUUCUCACAGAGGUAAUGCCUAUUAAGUGACUUAGCAAGGGCGUGCAUGAUGUAGUCACGAGAUGGAUAUUGGUAACAGUGAUUCCUUGCUGGUACUUUCUAUUAAGUCUAGGUUUCUUGUCACUCAUUGAUCGACCGCACAAAAUCUCACCUGCUAAAUAAUUUGCCCAGGCUUCCACAUCAUUGUACCUGUAUUGAUGAUCCCCAGUGCACAAGAUUACCACGUGAAUGGCAAUGAAAUUUGUGGCGCUGAUACUCAGGGUCUC
This 866-nucleotide long non-coding RNA is filed under the name Homo sapiens (human). Its description in RNAcentral is "non-protein coding LINC01592:11". Lineage: Eukaryota; Metazoa; Chordata; Mammalia; Primates; Hominidae. The record is from RNAcentral.